UAAGGAAUAUUGGACAAUGGAGGAAACUCUGAUCCAGCCAUGCCGCGUGCAGGAAGAAUGCCUUAUGGGUUGUAAACUGCUUUUUUAAAGGAAGAAAUACUCAUUCGUGAAUGGGUUUGACGGUACUUUAAGAAUAAGGAUCGGCUAACUCCGUGCCAGCAGCCGCGGUAAUACGGAGGAUCCAAGCGUUAUCCGGAAUUAUUGGGUUUAAAGGGUCCGCAGGCGGUUUGUUAAGUCAGAGGUGAAAUCCUACCGCUCAACGGUAGAACUGCCUUUGAUACUGGCAAACUUGAGUUAUUGUGAAGUAAUUAGAAUGUGUAGUGUAGCGGUGAAAUGCUUAGAUAUUACACAGAAUACCGAUUGCGAAGGCAGAUUACUAACAAUCAACUGACGCUCAGGGACGAAAGCGUGGGUAGCGAACAGG
This 424-nucleotide ribosomal RNA is filed under the name uncultured bacterium. RNAcentral's name for it is "bacterial SSU rRNA". It matches the Rfam family "Bacterial small subunit ribosomal RNA", at positions 355 to 776 of the family's 1533-position model. The record is from RNAcentral.